AUUGAACGCUGGCGGCAGGCCUAAUACAUGCAAGUCGAGCGGAGCGGCGGACGGGUGAGUAAUGCCUAGGAAUCUGCCUGGUAGCGGGGGAUAACGUCCGGAAACGGGCGCUAAUACCGCAUACUAUCAGAUGAGCCUAGGUCGGUUUAGCUAGUGGGUGGGGUAAAGGCCUACCAAGGCGACGAUCCUUAACUGGUCUGAUAGGCUGAUCAGUCACACUGGAACUUGGCCACGGUCCGGACUCCUACGGGAGGCAGCGGUGGGGAAUAUUGGCCAAUGGGCGAAGUCCUGCUCCAGCCAUGCCGCGUGUGUGAAGAGGGUCUUCGGAUUGUAAAGCACUUUAAGUUGGGAGGCGUUACCAACAGAAUAAGCACCGGCUAACUUCGUGCCAGCCGCCGCGGUAAUUC
RNAcentral lists this ribosomal RNA (407 nucleotides) under uncultured bacterium. RNAcentral's name for it is "partial 16S ribosomal RNA". It matches the Rfam family "Bacterial small subunit ribosomal RNA", at positions 30 to 526 of the family's 1533-position model. The record is from RNAcentral.